GUGUCAGCCGCCGCGGUAAUACCAGCACCCCGAGUGGUCGGGACGAUUAUUGGGCCUAAAGCAUCCGUAGCCGGUCCUGCAAGUCCUCCGUUAAAUCCACCCGCUCAACGGUUGGGCCGCGGGGGAUACUACAGGGCUAGGAGGCGGGAGAGGCAAGCGGUACUCGAUGGGUAGGGGUAAAAUCCACUGAUCCAUUGAAGACCACCAGUGGCGAAGGCGGCCUGCCAGAACGCGCUCGACGGUGAGGGAUGAAAGCUGGGGGAGCAAACCGGAUUAGAUACCCGGGUAGUCCCAGCUGUAAACGAUGCAGACUCGGUGAUGGGCUGGCUUCGUGCCAACCCGGUGCCGCAGGGAAGCCGUUAAGUCUGCCGCCUGGGGAGUACGGUCGCAAGACUGAA
This 398-nucleotide ribosomal RNA is filed under the name uncultured bacterium. Its description in RNAcentral is "bacterial SSU rRNA". It matches the Rfam family "Archaeal small subunit ribosomal RNA", at positions 455 to 853 of the family's 1478-position model. The record is from RNAcentral.